CGCUGGCGGCAAGCCUAACACAUGCAAGUCGAACGGACAAUUAUUUAUAGCCUCUGGCUAUAGGAAAUUGUUAGUGGCAGACGGGUGAGUAAUGCGUAGGAAUCUACCUAGUAGUACGGAAUAGCCAUUAGAAAUGGUGGGUAAUACUGUAUAAUCCCCGAGGGGGAAAGAUUUAUCGCUAUUAGAUGAGCCUACGUUAGAUUAGCUAGUUGGUGAGGUAAUGGCUUACCAAGGCUAUGAUCUAUAGCUGGUCUGAGAGGACGAUCAGCCACACUGGAACUGAGAUACGGUCCAGACUCCUACGGGAGGCAGCAGUGGGGAAUAUUGGACAAUGGGCGAAAGCCUGAUCCAGCUAUGCCGCGUGAGUGAAGAAGGCCUUCGGGUUGUAAAACUCUUUCAAUAGGGAAGAUAAUGACGGUACCUAUAGAAGAAGUCCCGGCAAACUCUGUGCCAGCAGCCGCG
RNAcentral lists this ribosomal RNA (462 nucleotides) under Ehrlichia canis. RNAcentral describes it as "bacterial SSU rRNA". It matches the Rfam family "Bacterial small subunit ribosomal RNA", at positions 34 to 519 of the family's 1533-position model. The record is from RNAcentral. Lineage: Bacteria; Pseudomonadati; Pseudomonadota; Alphaproteobacteria; Rickettsiales; Anaplasmataceae.